Molecule: long non-coding RNA, 3667 nt
Organism: Equus asinus (donkey)
Lineage: Eukaryota; Metazoa; Chordata; Mammalia; Perissodactyla; Equidae
Source: Ensembl
AAUUAGAGACUUUUGGCUCAAACAAGAUCUUUUCUGGGAAGCCAUAAGCCUGUAUUCUGAUAUUUCAACAUUUCACCCUUCAUCCUCCCCACCAGCCCUCACUAGGGUUCAUAUCAUCCUAGAAAUGGAACACCACCACAAAGCAGUCACCCACAUGGAUUCUCCCACUUUGCAGGCUUACGAUAAUGAAGUCAAACACACAUACACAGGCUCCAAAUACCUUUGGUAGAGCUUUACACCCAUAUGUGUGAAGGGCCAUUUCCAAACGGAAUAAUAACUGGAAGGCACGACUAAACCACUAGAAUAAAAUCCCCCUUUGGAUUAGGUAUCAGCAAAGUAAAUUAGUAACAUCUGAGCGCCUGUUAAGACUAGAGAUUCGCCGUUUGCUGGGACUGGCAUUUAUUUCAUUAUUGAAAAGGAAGGGAAAAAACAGAAGGAAUCAAGUCAGCUGUACUGAGUGUCGAUGACACAUGUGCCUCCCAUUUUUGAAGCUCUUCUCCCUGGCGCCUCAGUGUACUGUCUGAGCUGCCCCUGGGCUACAACCGUGAUUAAGAGGAGAGGUCUCUCUUUUGAAGGGGUUGGUGGUCUCUUGAGCUGAGGAAGUGGAACACGGGGUGAGUUUUCCUUUGUUUGUUCUUUCGUCCAUUCAUUGGUUCAUUAGGAAGCCCCUUCUCUGUGCUUGGUGCUGAGGAGGGGUUUUAACAGUCUCCUCCAGCAAUGGCGCUUCGGGGCAGGGGGGAGUAUGGGGAUGCUAAGUUUUGGGGGGAGCUUCCAGUAGAUUCAUUCAGGAGGAGACUCCUUUGGAGUAAGAUGGGAAGAGCAGCUUGCAGCCCCCUGGUAGAGGCCCUUGAACGGAGAGCAGAGUUUUGUUCUGGGGCAAGUUUGGGGCAGGCAAGCCCGAGUCUCUUUCCUGUCCUUGACCCUUGCUGUGGGACUCGCUUCUCUGCUUUUCAGUUGACGAGCCUGGCUGAUGGAAAACUGGAGGGCAUGCUGUGGGCUUCUCCCCUGCCACCUUCCCCGCUCUUGACGUCUUCUGGAAAUUGCCACCUUUAGGAGUCUGAGGAGCCAGGCAUCCUCGAGGGCAGGCUUCCUGUGUGGAGAGCCUUGUGGCUGAGGUCUGACCACACCACAAACCCACUGCUGCUCAUCAGUGUGGGCCAAGGAUGGAAGAGAAGCCAUGGUGCAGAGAGGGGUGUGGGUCAGGGGCUGAGGAUGCCUCCGGCCUUUCCUAAAAAGGAGGGAGCUGGACUUGCUUUUCCCUGAGACAUCUUCUGGUUGCGCCUCAGUCUACCCUGCGUUUGUCAUUUAGAUGGGGAGCUCCCCCACCAUCUCAUUCGGCAUGGGGUUUACAGGUCUAACAGGCCACGGUUUUAUGAGCUGCCUUGUGAAUAUUAAAAGUCGCAUUUCUUUUUCUGUUUCUUUGGAUUGCUUGAAUUUUUUAAGGUUGAGCAGUUUUUUAAAUAGCAAAGUGUAAAGUCCUAAGUCUUCUUAGAGGCUGUCAUUCUCCUGUGAUUUCAGCUCCCUAGCCUCCUUCGUGACUUUGAUCACCAAGUCCCCCGUUACGUUGGAAGAUUAAAGGCAUGUGGACGUCCGGGGGAGGGCAGCCUGGAGGUGACAUUCAAAAGCUCGAUUAGUCUUCUGCGGAUCAGUUGUCUACAGGCUUCCAGAAUAGCCCUCCAGACUACAUUUUAGGACAGGGCUGCCAGCAGCUGCUGUCUUGACCUGACCAGGAAGUUGCUGCUCCCCUCUGACUCCAGGACCACCCACCCCUGCCAUGGUCUGCACCAGCAAAAUGGACACCUUGCAUCCUACCCCUCUUCCCACGCAACUCAGAGCCUCGGUCUCCUCAUUUAUAAACUGAGUGGCAUCCACCUCCAGGUCAUAUGUAAUACAUUUCACAGCUGGUGUGUCAUAGGCACAGGCCAGUGAGGAUGGCCGUAGAUUGUAAAUCGCUCAUUAGGACUUACUGGUGCCAACCAGCUGAAUACCAACCCUCCUGGCAGUAUCACCAGAAAUGCCAAGUGGCAAGGGUUAUCUGGAUGGUCCUAGGUGCAUAGAGCAUGAGUGGUUUGACUGAGAUUACACAGGCCAGUGGUUAGAAUGUGGUGAGAAUUCCAUGAACACCCCCAAGACCUUUAAAGGAGAGAGAAUGCUCUUGCAGAUUUGGAGGAGAAACCCAGGAUGCAUCUGGACCAUCCACCUGAGUGCAAUGCUCCCACACAAGGAGGACGGCUGGGCAAGGAGCUGAGCGCUCAGUCAAGGAUGAUGCUGCUCCAUUGCUCCCCUCUUGUUCUGGUGAAACAGGUGGACGGAUUUGAGCCUGAGAAGUAACAAGCAAGGAGAAUAACUGGGAGCAUUAGGCUUUGGGGUGCCCUCUGCUUGAGCAUGACGGGCACUCAUCCUGUCUGAGGCAAAGGUGUGGACAGGAUGAAACAUGCCAGAGACUGGAGUCCGGAACCUUGAAAGUUUAAUGAGGACAGUUAGUGGAGUGACGCUAUGAUUAAUCACGUCAAAAGCAUCACGUAAAUCAAGCUGGAUGGUGGUGGACAACGACUAUUUAAUUUUGAUACUAAAAGGUCAUUUGGAACGCUUACUAGUGCGCUGUCAGGAGGGGCUGGCUUCUAAAUCCAGGUGGAUAAAGGUCCAUUAGGUCCCUGAGUGGAGGACUUAAGAUCCGAGCCAACUAGACAGGCCUGAUGCACCUGAACACAGGAGAAAAGGCAAAAGGAGACAUUUCAAAGUGAAACCGAGUCACUGAGGGUUUUACACUUUUUUAAUUUUUAAUUUUUUAAAUCUCUCCUCACUUGAGGUCCUAGAAAAAUGAUAUUAAGAAGGGCAGUAACUGAAUACAAGGCCGUCAGAGGAACUAUUGCUGUCAUGUUUUGUGAGCAAAGGAACAUGUUAUGUAAGCAGAUUAUGAGGGCUAUGCACAGAGAGGAGAGUUCAAUAUUUUCAGAAAGUCAAGCUCACAACUGAAUGUCUCUGAUGCGCAUUUAAGGAAGAGCAUAACCAAGGGAUAUUAGAGCGAUGGAGGACCUGGACGAUUGUCUGGUCCAUCCUCCUCACUGGCACCGAUGAGGACAAUUACGCAGAGAUGAUGCCCAUGGGCCGAGUUUGCGCAGCAACAAAUGGCGGGGCAGGGAUGAGCGUGGGGCUGCUGGCUCUCUCCAGGCGCAUCCACUCCAUCCAACCUUAGGUGGGGCGGGAGCCCCAGCUGUGAACAUACAUUUCACUUGACUGCAUGGCCACCAGACAAAGACUUUGCAAGGCAUCUGGCAGAGGGAAUCGGACCGAGCCAGAGCUGCUCAGGAGAUCCUGAAAGGCCGCGAUGUGGAAGCCAAAGGGCAGAGGCUCCCUCCUCUCUGGGAAGCAGCGUCUAGAGCCCAGGCCCCCUGGCUGCCCGCCCUUGGCUCUCACCUGCCUGGGGGCGCUCAGCUUGGAGCCAGCCUGGCUGGGGGGGGCGGGCAGAAGGGUGGGUGCUCACGAGGUGCGGGAGGGAAGGGACACCCUGCUUCAGAUGCCCCAGUCAGCGCCGUCCUCCUGGUGACUCCUUAAUUUCACCAUUUAAACACAGCUCCUUUUUCUCUCCUUUCUUACCUUUUUUUGAAUGGGUUGUCUUUCUUUGCUUGCUUGCUCGCUUUUCUUAUUCCAUUUCCCCCUCUUUCCU